This 51-nucleotide small nucleolar RNA is filed under the name Pyrobaculum calidifontis JCM 11548. RNAcentral's name for it is "PCAsR116". The record is from RNAcentral. Lineage: Archaea; Thermoproteati; Thermoproteota; Thermoprotei; Thermoproteales; Thermoproteaceae.
GUGGCUGAAAGGGUUCGGCGCAGAGCCGUGAAGAAAAGCCCUACACGAGGA